CUCCAGGGAUGGAAAUCAAACCCAACAGUGUUCCGCUUACCGGGCAGAUGCCACGUCCACUAGGCUACCCUGGC
Molecule: transfer RNA, 74 nt
Filed under: Cordylochernes scorpioides
Lineage: Eukaryota; Metazoa; Arthropoda; Arachnida; Pseudoscorpiones; Chernetidae
Description: tRNA-Thr
Source: RNAcentral